CUCUCAUGUUCCUUCUGUUUCACUUGUUCUCUCUCCAAUUCCUCUCUUUUCUUUCUUUUUUCCUCAUGUAUUUUUUUUCUUUCUUUCUUUUUUUUUCUUCCUCUCUCUCUCUCUCCUGGUCUCUCUCGCUCUCUCUCUCUCUUCCAGCCCCAUUUUCACAUUCCUCUGUUUUCAGAGACAGGCUCCUCCCUUCUCCUCCUCCCUCCCUUCCUCCCUCCCUCUAUUCUCUCUCUCUCUCUGUCUGUAUCUGUGCAUGUGUGUUCAGUUGUUCAGUAGCAGUGUAUCUCUCCGUGGCAGGGGCAGCUUCAUUCUCUCCUGCAGGAUGUCGGGCCCUCGGACCAGCUCCAUACUGCUGCUGUUCACCAUCGCCUCCCUGCAGAACGCUCUGCUGGAGGCCAAGCCUCUUUCUGCCAUGCAUGGGGGCGGAGCUGUGCGCCUUCGUCGUGACCUGCGUGACUCACUGCCUUAUGAAGCCCAGAUGAUGUCCUAUCCCACUGCUGACUUCAAGGGGCGGGGUAAUGAGCUGUACUACCAGCCAGAGGCGGUGAGGGCGCAGGGGCUGGGUCAGGCCCUCCAAAGGCUGAUGGAGAACGACCAGCGGCGGGAGCAGGAAGCAGCGUAUCUGGCAGGUCUACUGCGCCUCCUGAAUGAGGCGGAGAAUAAUGGCCAAGGGAAACAGGAGGAAGAGGAGGAGGAAGAGGAAGGAGACUUCCAGGGGCCAUACCCGCCAGACUAUGAUGAGACGGAGCAGACGGUCAGCAUGGCUAAGCCACAGGCCCUGCUGGACCCCCAGCUGGCCGAGGCUCUGCUCAACCGCUACAGACAGGAGAGGCUGCUUCAGGCUGGGCUUAACCCAACCUCCAACCGCCUCCCAGACAGAGAGCAGGAGAGGGACCAGGAGGUGCUCCGGUACCUGGUUGAGAAAAUUCUCUCCAGUCUGGCUCCAGGGAACCAGCCGAGCCCCUCCAACCGCCGAGCCAAACGGGACGUGAGUGCGGUGGCCAGCGUCGGACGGGGUGGAGCUUCCUUGAGACGAUCCAGACGCUCUGUGGACUCCGUCCCCGUCCCCUCGCCCAGCGCUGAGGCCUCACUGCUGCGGGUGAAGAGGCUGGGUGAUGAAGAGGAUGAUGAAGGUUUUGCUGCCCAGAGCAACAGAUCACCCCACGCUGGGCUGCAGAGGAUGAAACGCAUCGACACAGACAUGCCGCUCCCUCUGAAACACAGCCGCAAACGCCGGGCGGUGUCCUAUGACCCCAGUGUCAUCGCUCAGCACAUCCUACAGUACCUACCAGCAUAA
Molecule: long non-coding RNA, 1297 nt
Organism: Pygocentrus nattereri (red-bellied piranha)
Lineage: Eukaryota; Metazoa; Chordata; Actinopteri; Characiformes; Serrasalmidae
Source: Ensembl